This is a long non-coding RNA of Mesocricetus auratus (golden hamster), 551 nucleotides long. RefSeq lists it as uncharacterized. The transcript is spliced from 3 exons. The record is from RefSeq and is a predicted model, not a curated record. Lineage: Eukaryota; Metazoa; Chordata; Mammalia; Rodentia; Cricetidae.
CCGGGACCCACGGCCGCGCCAGCCUGGCCACGAGUGGGAGCGCGUCGCGACCGCCAGGGGCUGUGAGGCGAUGGCAGGUUACAAGUGCGAGACUCCAGCGAGGUGCGGGCGAAGGUGGGGGGGCAGCAACGCGACCGUGGCUUCUGCUCUGCGGAUGAUUAAAAUGGGUGAUUCUUCAUAAGAGACGUGGUAGUCAGAUUUAUUGGGUGGAAGAAUGCUGCCUUCUCUCUACCUGAAUCCUUAAGAAGCAGUGCAAAGACUGCCUUUGCUCCUCUGUGCCUUGUUUCGUGGGGAAAGCAUACUGAGUACUUUAAUGAAUAGAACUGCAAUGUCUGAUGUAGAAACUAGAAUAUUUAAUGAAUAAAUAAUACAUUUAAAAUAUCUAAUGUAAAACAUAAUACAUUUAUAUAAAUAUCACCUACGUAAUAUUUAUUAUGUUAAAGGAAAAAUUGCUUGCUAUGUCUGACAGGCAUUUUAUAAUUGUAAUUAUAUGCAAAAUCAGAAAUUGUAUUCAGGAUAGUAACUAUCUAAUAAAGGGAUUAUAUUCUGUU